CUUAACUUACGUUCCUCUUCCUUUGGAUCAAGUUGUGUAACACUGACAGAUAAGCGAUCUACACGUUCCUGUAAGGAGUUGACUCUAAAUGAGAAACUGUGUGCUUCAUUGAAAAGUUCCCCAAAUAUAUCUUCAGCAUAUUUACUUAAGCUACUCAGUUGUCUGAUUAUAUUUGCCAAGGAGAUAUUGGUGACGCAUUCCAACUCAUUC
Molecule: long non-coding RNA, 210 nt
Filed under: Gallus gallus (chicken)
Lineage: Eukaryota; Metazoa; Chordata; Aves; Galliformes; Phasianidae
Source: RNAcentral